AUUAUAACAGAUCUCCCUUCAAACAAGACAUCUCCAACCUCUCUCAAUCUGAGGAAAAAACAUCUCAGACCCCUAAGAGGGGGUGUGGACUCUCAGAAAGGAGAGCAUAGUUCCUUUGUCCUUUCCUGCUUACCUGGACCUAUUCCUUCUUCAAUCUCUUAGGCCAAAUAGAUAAAUAAGUUAAAUGACGGAUUAUUUUAGCUGGGAAGGGACAGAGAAAUCUAUAUGAAAAGGGAAAUUUUCCCCCAUAUAGACCAAGGACCAUGUAGAAGCACCAGGGAACCUAUAUCCCUCUUUCCUUCAUCCACCUUACCCAAGACUUGUUACUAAACCCUUUCAUAGAGCAGUCAGAUUCUGGUCAAGCCUCUUAAUACAAAAUAAAAGGGAUAUUUCUAGAACUGGGGUCAGAUCUCAAUAAGAGUAUCUGAGACCUUUGCCUUUGAGGCUAGACCCCAUACUGGGUCCUACCUCCAGGUCCUUUCUGAGGGAGAGGCACUGAGGGCAUCCAUAGGUGUAGCUGACAGGGUAGAUUGUCAUCAAAUCCCCCUCAACCAUUUCUCCAAGGGACACAGAGUGAUAACUGACAACCUUUUAUCAUAGGGGAGAGGGAGAGACAGCAGCCAUCCCUACAUUAGCUAAGGCUCCUUCCCUCUCACACUGUUCCUGUUCCCGAAACUGAUUCCUCCCCUCACUGAUAACCUUUGUUAUCAAUGAAGAAGAACCUUUAUUUUAACAUCAAGAAUAUCCAUUUUAACAGAACUCCAUGCAGAUUGAAACAAACUUCAUUCAUCUAUUUUAUUUAUUUAUUUGUUCAAUAAGGUCACUGGAUUUGCUUAACAUCCUUAUCACAGGAACACAAUCUAGAAAGGCUUGAAUUCUCAAUUCAGUCUGAUAGAUUUUUUUUCUCCAAGAAAGGAGAAUAUGGCAAAUGGAAGGAGGGAAGUUGCUUCUUCCUCUGCACUUGGUGGCAGGAGGGCAACUUGUUGACAUGCUUCAAUCAUCCACCAGCUUCAGCCACAGACCUGUUGGAGCCAACAAAAAGGUUCAGAACUCUUGAAAGCCAUGACCUGCUUUUUCAUGCAGAUCCUUUAAUCCAUAAGGAACCAUGUGGUGCUUGACAGAGAGUGAUUCUUCAGCAGGGAGUCGCAGUUGAAAUUAGAACUAAGCUGUAAUCACGGUAUGUCUUGGGUGUGUGAUGCAGCCUGAAAAAAAACCCCAACCCAAACAUACUCUUACUGUAUAAUGCACACCCUGGGGUGUUAUUGCUUUCAUAAAAUGUAUUUUCUAAUUGUCAAUUUACCAAAUUAUGGCCCCAUGCCUGCAACUGUACUCUUCUUAAAAGUCUAAUUUUCAUUCAAAAAUGCUUUAAAAAAAUCAUUACCUUUACUGAAGGAAGCCUCUGGAAAGAAGAAUCAAACUGGCUGUGAAUCAACCAAAGAAAACUCAGAGUAAAAGGUAGAUGGGGGAUGGUAGGAGCUGCCAUCUUGGAUUGUUCUUUCACAGUGAGUACACACUUUUUUCCCCCCAAAACUCUGGAGGGCCCAACUUUUUCUUCUUCUUUGGAAGAUGCAAAUCAAAUUACUUGAGCACUUUCUUUUUUUAAAAUUUAAAAUUUAAAUAUUUGAUUUUUCCCAGUUAUAUAUAAUACUAUUUUAAACAUAAAUUUCCCCAAAUUAUGAGAUACCUCCUCUCUCUGAGAUGGUAAACUAUUUGAUCUCGGUUAUGUAUGAUCACACAAAAUAUUUCCAUAUUGGUCAUGUUGAGAGAGAAUACUCAUAUAAAAUCAAAAGUCCCAAAUAGAAACACACACAUAAAUAAAAUAAAGUAAAUGAUAGUGUGUAUCA
RNAcentral lists this long non-coding RNA (1844 nucleotides) under Monodelphis domestica (gray short-tailed opossum). RNAcentral's name for it is "lncRNA (ENSMODG00000046537.1)". Lineage: Eukaryota; Metazoa; Chordata; Mammalia; Didelphimorphia; Didelphidae. The record is from RNAcentral.